GUGCAUUGUCUGAUCUGAUGCCUUUCACCUCUGAGCUUUGUACAUUUGACGAAGGAACUUUGCGUCCAGAUAAAUCAAACUUAAAAUGUAGGAAUGACUCAGAAUUGAUGUUAGCUCCUUCUCUGGAACUGGACAGAUCUGGAUCAUCCUGGACAACAUUGCUGGUAACAACAGAGUCAAGAUUUCUAUCCCAGAAACCAGAAGAAACUUUACCAGGCUGAGUAAUUGAACCAUCGUGCAUGGUAUUAAUACUCAGACCUGUAAUAUCAGUGGAUGCACACUGAGUCUCUCCAUCAUUGCUGCGAGAUAUACUCUUAUUUAAUUUACUAAAUUUAUUAAAACUAUCUAC
RNAcentral lists this unclassified non-coding RNA (349 nucleotides) under Hevea brasiliensis (rubber tree). Lineage: Eukaryota; Viridiplantae; Streptophyta; Magnoliopsida; Malpighiales; Euphorbiaceae. The record is from RNAcentral.